UACAACUUUCAACAACGGAUCUCUUGGCUCUCGCAUCGAUGAAGAACGCAGCGAAAUGCGAUAAGUAAUGUGAAUUGCAGAAUUCAGUGAAUCAUCGAAUCUUUGAACGCACCUUGCGCUCCUUGGUAUUCCGAGGAGCAUGCCUGUUUGAGUGUCAUG
Molecule: ribosomal RNA, 159 nt
Filed under: uncultured Tricholoma
Lineage: Eukaryota; Fungi; Basidiomycota; Agaricomycetes; Agaricales; Tricholomataceae
Description: 5.8S ribosomal RNA
Rfam family: 5.8S ribosomal RNA
About the family: 5.8S ribosomal RNA (5.8S rRNA) is a component of the large subunit of the eukaryotic ribosome. It is transcribed by RNA polymerase I as part of the 45S precursor that also contains 18S and 28S rRNA.
Source: RNAcentral